GAUGAACGCUGGCGGCGUGCCUAACACAUGCAAGUCGAACGAGGCAAAUGAGAUGAAGUUUUCGGAUGGAUUCUUAUUUACCGAGUGGCGGACGGGUGAGUAACGCGUGGGUAACCUGCCUCAUACAGGGGGAUAACGAUUGGAAACGAUUGCUAAUACCGCAUAAGCGCACAGUACCACAUGGUACAGUGUGAAAAACUCCGGUGGUAUGAGAUGGACCCGCGUCUGAUUAGCUAGUUGGUGAGGUAACGGCCCACCAAGGCGACGAUCAGUAGCCGGCCUGAGAGGGUGAACGGCCACAUUGGGACUGAGACACGGCCCA
RNAcentral lists this ribosomal RNA (322 nucleotides) under uncultured bacterium. RNAcentral's name for it is "bacterial SSU rRNA". It matches the Rfam family "Bacterial small subunit ribosomal RNA", at positions 28 to 333 of the family's 1533-position model. The record is from RNAcentral.